RNAcentral lists this long non-coding RNA (738 nucleotides) under Parus major (Great Tit). RNAcentral describes it as "lncRNA (ENSPMJG00000015733.1)". Lineage: Eukaryota; Metazoa; Chordata; Aves; Passeriformes; Paridae. The record is from RNAcentral.
CAGACUUUUUAUUCUUGUGAUUAGAUUUUAUAUUACAGAGUCUGCACCCUCCUAUUUAGGAAUCUGAAAACAGAUAUUUUCUGGUUUACACUGAGUCUUGAAUAUCUCUUCAGCUGCUUCCUAAUGUUUGUUCCACAGGAAGGGAGCUAGUUCAUAGCAUACAUAGUGUGCUUUGUUGUAUCUGCAUCAGCAAAGUAGAUAAGCUCAGCCUCUCUUCAUCUGAAAAGGGAACAGAGGAGCAGCAGCAGGAGACAGUGCAAUGCUUCAGGAUAUUGUGAAGAUUUCAGGCAACAAGACGACUUUCAGCUGUAUCCAACACUCCAGCUGUGUUUGAUUUGCCUCUUAAUCAGAGAUUUCAAAAAUCAGGCUCCAUCUGCUAAAGAAUUCAAAGAUCCUGGAUUUGAGAGGCUAUUUAUGAACAUCAAACUGUGGUCCAUUUCUCCCUGGAGUAUCAUGCAGAUGUGCAGCUGCACAGCUGCAGCUCUUCAACACCAGUGGAAGUGUGAGCUAUCCACAGACACCAGUAAAAAGCCAGGCCCAUGCAGGCCACACAAGGACCUGCAUCUAUAUCCAGAGCAAAAACUCCACAGUUGUCUCAAGGGAGCAAAGUUUCUCUCAUGCCUGAUUCAUAACCAGAAGAGAAUUUCUCAGAAAUUGGAUUUUAGCAUUUGUCAGCCACAAGUUGUCAACCAAGCCUAUUUUCUCCUGGAGGUACUGUUUACCUUUCUCAGUGUAUGA